GAUGAACGCUGGCGGCGUGCCUAAUACAUGCAAGUCGAACGAACAGACGAGGAGCUUGCUCCUCUGACGUUAGCGGCGGACGGGUGAGUAACACGUGGAUAACCUACCUAUAAGACUGGGAUAACUUCGGGAAACCGGAGCUAAUACCGGAUAAUAUGUUGAAUCGCAUGGUUCAACAGUGAAAGACGGUCUUGCUGUCACUUAUAGAUGGAUCCGCGCCGCAUUAGCUAGUUGGUAAGGUAACGGCUUACCAAGGCAACGAUGCGUAGCCGACCUGAGAGGGUGAUCGGCCACACUGGAACUGAGACACGGUCCAGACUCCUACGGGAGGCAGCAGUAGGGAAUCUUCCGCAAUGGGCGAAAGCCUGACGGAGCAACGCCGCGUGAGUGAAGAAGGUCUUCGGAUCGUAAAACUCUGUUAUUAGGGAAGAACAAAUGUGUAAGUAACUAUGCACGUCUUGACGGUACCUAAUCAGAAAGCCACGGCUAACUACGUG
RNAcentral lists this ribosomal RNA (497 nucleotides) under uncultured bacterium. RNAcentral describes it as "partial 16S ribosomal RNA". It matches the Rfam family "Bacterial small subunit ribosomal RNA", at positions 28 to 507 of the family's 1533-position model. The record is from RNAcentral.